UGAGUUCCUAUGUACUCUAUAAAUUAUUAGUUGGGAUAAAUAGAGUGAGUAAUGAAUUCAGAUUGACUUAAUUAAUAUCAUUUGGGAUUGGCCUUUUAUUAAUUGGGGCAUUUUGGUAACAUUAAUAAUGAGUUAAUUGCUCUAGUAGAACAAAUAUUAUGGUUAGUGAUAUUUGGGAUAUUUGUUUCUACUAUCAGAAUUAUUUCUAUCCACACAAUUU
RNAcentral lists this long non-coding RNA (220 nucleotides) under Lathyrus oleraceus (garden pea). Its description in RNAcentral is "Pisum sativum (pea) long non-coding RNA (PSAT_LNC034397)". Lineage: Eukaryota; Viridiplantae; Streptophyta; Magnoliopsida; Fabales; Fabaceae. The record is from RNAcentral.